RNAcentral lists this unclassified non-coding RNA (228 nucleotides) under Lilium hansonii. RNAcentral's name for it is "ITS 1". Lineage: Eukaryota; Viridiplantae; Streptophyta; Magnoliopsida; Liliales; Liliaceae. The record is from RNAcentral.
UCGAGAGUUGAUUGAGAGACCGUGAACCUGUAAACGGAUAAUACCGUGUCGGGCGGGCGUUAUGCCCGCCCAACUCGGGCCUAGCAUCGUGUCCGUGGCCGCCUCCGAGCGUUUCGGGCACGAUUUACAGGGGACGAACGAAACCCCGGCACGGCCUGUGCCAAGGAACAUAUGUCAGGACGGACGUGCGUCAAUGCCUCAGUGGUGGGGCGACGUUCGCUCUCUAUU